This 77-nucleotide transfer RNA is filed under the name Candidatus Omnitrophota bacterium. Its description in RNAcentral is "Candidatus Omnitrophica bacterium tRNA-Lys". It matches the Rfam family "tRNA". From Rfam's summary of the family: Transfer RNA (tRNA) molecules are approximately 80 nucleotides in length. Their secondary structure includes four short double-helical elements and three loops (D, anti-codon, and T loops). Further hydrogen bonds mediate the characteristic L-shaped molecular structure. tRNAs have two regions of fundamental functional importance: the anti-codon, which is responsible for specific mRNA codon recognition, and the 3' end, to which the tRNAs corresponding amino acid is attached (by aminoacyl-tRNA synthetases). tRNAs cope with the degeneracy of the genetic code in two manners: having more than one tRNA (with a specific anti-codon) for a particular amino acid; and 'wobble' base-pairing, i.e. permitting non-standard base-pairing at the 3rd anti-codon position. The record is from RNAcentral. Lineage: Bacteria; Pseudomonadati; Candidatus Omnitrophota. RNAcentral also lists the same sequence under 1 other name.
GGGCCGCUAGCUCAUGUUGGUAGAGCACCGCCCUUUUAAGGCGGGUGUGCCGCGUUCGACUCGCGGGCGGCUCACCA